This 394-nucleotide ribosomal RNA is filed under the name uncultured bacterium. RNAcentral's name for it is "partial 16S ribosomal RNA". It matches the Rfam family "Bacterial small subunit ribosomal RNA", at positions 338 to 729 of the family's 1533-position model. The record is from RNAcentral.
CCUACGGGUGGCAGCAGUGAGGAAUAUUGGUCAAUGGACGUAAGCCUGAACCAGCCAAGUAGCGUGAAGGAUGACUGCCCUAUGGGUUGUAAACUUCUUUUGUCAGGGAAUAACGCGCGUUACGUGUAGCCUGUUGCAUGUACCCUAUGAAUAAGGACCGGCUAAUUCCGUGCCAGCAGCCGCGGUAAUACGGAAGGUCCGGGCGUUAUCCGGAUUUAUUGGGGUUAAAGGGAGCGUAGGUGGGAUGGCCAGGUAGUUGUGAAAUUUGCGGGCUCAACCCUCGCAUUGCAGUUGAAACUGGCGGUCUUGAGUGCGCGUGAGGUAGGCGGAAUGCGUGGUGUAGCGGUGAAAUGCUUAGAUAUCACGAAGAACCCCGAUUGCGAAGGCAGCAUAC